Long non-coding RNA from Onychostoma macrolepis, 1715 nucleotides. RefSeq lists it as uncharacterized. The transcript is spliced from 2 exons. NCBI's taxonomy places the organism in Eukaryota, Metazoa, Chordata, Actinopteri, Cypriniformes, Cyprinidae. The record is from RefSeq and is a predicted model, not a curated record.
AAUAUUACCAGUCAAGACUGAUGCUGCAGGUGAGUGGUAUAAUGUCUUAAUCAUAGAAAUGAAAUGUUCACCGAAGCCGAAACAUUGCAGAACUGCCCACACUCUAGCCUGUCAAAGGCCUUUUCUGCAUCAAGUGAAAAAACCGCACAAGGGCUCGGAUGAGAGUCUGCAAAGUCAAGAAUAUGAAAGAGUCGACACAUAUUGUCAGACGCAUUGCGCCCCUUGAUAAAACCGGUUUGGUCCUCCUUGAUCAAACUAUGAAUUACCUUUUCCAUUCGAGAAGCAAAAACUUUAGCAUAGAUUUUUAGAUCACAUGGGAUAAGUGAUAUCGGUCUGUAGCUGGAACAAUCUUAAUGGAUAAUGGAUCUUUCCCUUUUUUAAGAAGUAAUGAUAUCAAUGAUGUUUUUUGAUCUCUAUGAAAUACACCAUUGUCCAAAUAUAAUUCAGGGGGGAGACCAUCUAGACCCGGCAAUUUGCCCUUUUGAAGGCUUUUUAGAGAGACGUGGAGCUCCUCCAAACGCAAUGGGGCCUCCAAAGAUUCUUUAUCCAUCUGUGAGAUCCGAGGCAAUUCCAAUUUAUCUAAAUACUGCUUACAAAUUGGUUCAUCAAAAUAUGUUUCGGCUUUAUACGGAAAGAGGAAUAUUGCAUAACACAGCAGAAUGAUCAGAUAAUAAAAUUGGUAUAUAGAGAUGGAGGAAUUAGACGAAAUUAAAGAUGGGCUGAGAAAUAUGUUGUCUAUCUAAGUCUGUCUAGAAAAGUAUGUCUAGAAAAAAAAGUGAAGUCCUUAGAUUUAGUAUUCUGAAUUCUCCAAAGAUCGAUUAAGUUGAGCUCAGUGAUAAAUUUAUUCAGUUGUAUCAGAUUGAGAUUUAUCCAAAGCAGGAUUUACGACAGCAUUAAAAUCACCACCCACCACUAAUGGGCAAUCAUUCUGCUCAAGUAGUGUUUUGGAAAUAUUUGUAAAGAAUUCACUGUCUGUCUCAUUCUGACCGUAAAUAGAGACCAAUGCUAACCUAUUAUUAUGUAUUUUGCAACGGAUAAAAACAAAUCUACCCUCCUCAUCACUUCCGAGGUGUUCAAUUGUUAAAUGUAACUUCCUGUUAACAAGGAUAAGUACCCGCUUAGUUUUAUUAAGAGCCCAGGAGAAGGCUGCCAAUUUAUAAUACUUAUUCUGGAAACGUGCCACGUCAGAUUGCUUUAAAUGUGUCUCUUGUAUCAGUGCACAGGAAAUAUUCUAAUACACGAGUACGUUUCACAGCAGAAUUUAGGCCAUUCACAUUCAAUGAUAAAAUAUUUAGAGUAUGCAUAAUCCCAAAACUGUAUUCAGUAAAUAAAGAAAAGCAAAAGCACUCCCAUUCUGUAAGUAACAUGUAAACGCUGGUGUGCAUUCUAGAUACCAAACCACCUAGAUGAAAAAUCCUUUUAGAAAUAAAGGUAAAAUAAAUAAAAGUAUGAAUGUCUGUUGUAAAAAAUAAAAGCAACACAGAAACAGGAACGAUAAACAACUAUAAACAAGAAACAACUCAGACCGCACAUUACCGAGAACGUAGGUCUGAUAGAGCAACAAAAAAUGGUCAUGAUGUGUGACCGGUCCACUUCAACGCAAGGCAUGUCCCCAAAAGGCCCACAUAGUCAAAAAUUAUUGUAAUUGAACCUACUCUCCAUUAGACCCCUCCAAAAAAAGGGUGUUAGUCUUAAAAAAAAAAAAAAAAAAAGAA